UCCUCGCUCAAAGAAUCGCAUUCAAAGCUUACGCUCAGAGCCUUUCACUCUCAUCUGAGGUGAUUGCUCAUACCAUAUCUAGCUUUGGGAGAAAGUCCCCGGACGUCCUGCACAAUCUAUCGUGUCAGGCAAUGCGGAAACGCGCCGCCAUAAAAGCAAUUGAUAGCGGCUUACGUCUCUCCUUGCCUCUCGCCCUUUCAGACUCGACCCUAGCCGUAUGAGCCGUCUGUACUCUUCUCCGCUAUCUCGUCGCUCCUGUUGGACUAGGCUUCGUUGGGUUUACUUCGAGACCACCCUGCCGUUUCGGCGGAAGGGACAGGGACGAUGAUAUGAGUCCGCGCUCGAGGUAACCCUAUCAAAGUUGUUGGUCCUCUGGGUGCUUUGUGGAUACUGGGGAGGAGGAGGCUUCUAGGGGAACGGAUGGAGUCUGUUUGGUGAGGUUCAGGUAGGAGGUGAUUGCUCUUCGUCGUGGUUGGAUAGCUAUGCGAUUGUCUUGUCGGCCUGGGAUCGUAUGGUUCUAAGUUCGAUGGAUAACUCGAUGGGGCUUAUUCUUGAGGCGAGG
RNAcentral lists this RNase MRP RNA (562 nucleotides) under Uncinocarpus reesii 1704. RNAcentral describes it as "RNase MRP". It matches the Rfam family "RNase MRP". Rfam says of the family: RNase MRP is an enzymatically active ribonucleoprotein with two distinct roles in eukaryotes. Lineage: Eukaryota; Fungi; Ascomycota; Eurotiomycetes; Onygenales; Onygenaceae. The record is from Rfam by way of RNAcentral.